RNAcentral lists this ribosomal RNA (405 nucleotides) under uncultured bacterium. RNAcentral describes it as "partial 16S ribosomal RNA". It matches the Rfam family "Bacterial small subunit ribosomal RNA", at positions 30 to 526 of the family's 1533-position model. The record is from RNAcentral.
AUUGAACGCUGGCGGCAGGCCUAACACAUGCAAGUCGAACGAGUGGCGGACGGGUGAGUAAUGGCUGGGAAACUGCCUGAUGGAGGGGGAUAACUACUGGAAACGGUAGCUAAUACCGCAUACCAUCAGAUGUGCCCAGAUGGGAUUAGCUAGUUGGUGGGGUAACGGCCCACCAAGGCGACGAUCCCUAGCGGGUCGGAGAGGAUGACCAGCCACACUGGAACUGAGACACGGUCCAGACUCCUACGGGGGGCAGCAGUGGGGAAUAUUGCACAAGUGGCGCAAGCCUGAUGCAGCCCUGCCGCGUGUAUGAAGAAGGCCUUCGGGUUGUAAAUUACUUUCAGCGGGGAGGCGUUACCCGCAGAAGAAGCACCGGCUAACUCCGUGCCAGCAGCCGCGGUAUAC